RNAcentral lists this ribosomal RNA (403 nucleotides) under uncultured Oscillibacter sp. RNAcentral describes it as "bacterial SSU rRNA". It matches the Rfam family "Bacterial small subunit ribosomal RNA", at positions 356 to 774 of the family's 1533-position model. Lineage: Bacteria; Bacillati; Bacillota; Clostridia; Eubacteriales; Oscillospiraceae. The record is from RNAcentral.
GGGGAAUAUUGGGCAAUGGACGCAAGUCUGACCCAGCAACGCCGCGUGAAGGAAGAAGGCUUUCGGGUUGUAAACUUCUUUUAAGGGGGAAGAGUAGAAGACGGUACCCCUUGAAUAAGCCACGGCUAACUACGUGCCAGCAGCCGCGGUAAUACGUAGGUGGCAAGCGUUGUCCGGAUUUACUGGGUGUAAAGGGCGUGUAGCCGGGAAGGCAAGUCAGAUGUGAAAACUCGAGGCUCAACCUCGGGCUUGCAGUGGGUACGGGCUGACUAGAGUGCGGUAGGGGUGACUGGAAUUCCUGGUGUAGCGGUGGAAUGCGCAGAUAUCAGGAGGAACACCGAUGGCGAAGGCAGGUCACUGGGCCGCAACUGACGCUGAGGAGCGAAAGCAUGGGGAGCGAACA